Molecule: ribosomal RNA, 301 nt
Filed under: uncultured bacterium
Lineage: Bacteria
Description: partial 16S ribosomal RNA
Rfam family: Bacterial small subunit ribosomal RNA
Source: RNAcentral
CAGUAGCCGCGGUAAUACGAGGGGUGCAAGCGUUAUUCGGAUUGAUUGGGUGUAAAGGGUGUGCAGACGGCUUAUUAAGUCACUUGUUAAAUUCUUCGGCCUAACUGAAGGUCUGCAAGUGAUACUGAUGAGCUAGAGGGUGGAAGAGAGAAGUGGAAUUCUCGGAGUAGCGGUAAAAUGCGUAGAUCUCGAGAGGAACACCAAUGGCGAAGGCAGCUUCUUGGUCCAUUCCUGACGUUCAUACACGAAAGCGUGGGGAGCAAACAGGAUUAGAUACCCCGGUAGUCCCUGUCUCUUAUAA